CAGUAGCCACGGGAAUACAGAGGGUGCGAGCGUUAAUCGGAUUUACUGGGCGUAAAGCGUGCGUAGGCGGCUUCUUAAGUCGGAUGUGAAAUCCCUGAGCUUAACUUAGGAAUUGCAUUCGAUACUGGGAAGCUAGAGUAUGGGAGAGGAUGGUAGAAUUCCAGGUGUAGCGGUGAAAUGCGUAGAGAUCUGGAGGAAUACCGAUGGCGAAGGCAGCCAUCUGGCCUAAUACUGACGCUGAGGUACGAAAGCAUGGGGAGCAAACAGGAUUAGAUACCCCCGUAGUCCCUGUCUCUUAUAC
RNAcentral lists this ribosomal RNA (301 nucleotides) under uncultured bacterium. Its description in RNAcentral is "partial 16S ribosomal RNA". It matches the Rfam family "Bacterial small subunit ribosomal RNA", at positions 509 to 807 of the family's 1533-position model. The record is from RNAcentral.